AUUGAACGCUGGCGGCAGGCUUAACACAUGCAAGUCGAGCGGGGUGAUGGUGCUUGCACUAUCACUUAGCGGCGGACGGGUGAGUAAUGCUUAGGAAUCUGCCUAUUAGUGGGGGACAACAUCUCGAAAGGGAUGCUAAUACCGCAUACGUCCUACGGAAGAAAGCAGGGGAUCACUUGUGACCUUGCGCUAAUAGAUGAGCCUAAGUCGGAUUAGCUAGUUGGUGGGGUAAAGGCCUACCAAGGCGACGAUCUGUAGCGGGUCUGAGAGGAUGAUCCGCCACUCUGGGACUGAGACACGGCCCAGACUCCUGCGGGAGGCAGCAGUGGGGAAUAUUGGACAAUGGGGGGAACCCUGAUCCAGCCAUGCCGCGUGGGUGAAGAAGGCCUUAUGGUCGUAAAGCACUUUAAGCGAGGAGGAGGCUCUUUUGGUUAAUACCCAAGAUGAGUGGACGUUACUCGCAGAAUAAGCACCGGCUAACUCUGUGCCAGCCGCCGCCGUAA
RNAcentral lists this ribosomal RNA (503 nucleotides) under uncultured bacterium. RNAcentral's name for it is "partial 16S ribosomal RNA". It matches the Rfam family "Bacterial small subunit ribosomal RNA", at positions 30 to 523 of the family's 1533-position model. The record is from RNAcentral.